CCCUUAGAUGUUCUGGGCCGCACGCGUGCUACACUGAGUGGAUCAGCGGGUCAGGUUGCGCGAAAGUGUUUCCUAAUCUUUAAAUCCGCCCGUGAUGGGGAUUGACGGUUGCAAUUUUCCGUCAUGAACGAGGAAUACCUUGUAAGCGCGGGUCAUCAUCCCGCGCUGAAUACGUCCCUGCCCUUUGUACACACCGCCCGUCGCUCCUACCGAUUGAGUGGUCCGGUGAGGCUUUGGGAUCUGGGCGGAAAGAGCGUUUCGCUGUUUCUGCCCGGAAAACUCAGUCGAACCUUAUCAUUUAGAGGAAGGAGAAGUCGUAACA
RNAcentral lists this ribosomal RNA (322 nucleotides) under uncultured eukaryote. Its description in RNAcentral is "partial 18S ribosomal RNA". It matches the Rfam family "Eukaryotic small subunit ribosomal RNA", at positions 1470 to 1796 of the family's 1831-position model. The record is from RNAcentral.